RNAcentral lists this long non-coding RNA (542 nucleotides) under Rhinopithecus bieti (black snub-nosed monkey). RNAcentral describes it as "lncRNA (ENSRBIG00000045130.1)". Lineage: Eukaryota; Metazoa; Chordata; Mammalia; Primates; Cercopithecidae. The record is from RNAcentral.
UUUUCCUAUCCAUAUUAUAUUCCCAACUCAAUUCUAGGUAAUCCUUUUAGUUUUCUAACAAGCAAACAAAACAAUGAGCACCUUAACACUGAGCGCUACCUUAGGAAGGCUUAACUGACUUCCAGGACUAAGAAAGCAUGGAACAAGUGCCUGUUUCAGUCUCUUAUUUAAGCACUGCAGAUGCGUCGAAACCUAAUAAAAACUGUUCCCUGGCACAUCAACCCUAAUCAGAGAGUAAGAAGCUAAAAAUCUGUGAAUCGCCUACAACCAAAGGGAAGUCUUUUGAGAGCUGCAUUGUUAAAACUCUGAGAACAGGUCAAGAGAUCAGGGUGACCUUUGAGCUAAUGAGGACGCUAGGUGACACCAAGCCCAAACACUCUCUGAGCAAGUGGCUGGUCCUGAGAGGUGACUGAGGUCACACAACUAUAAGAUAUAAGCAGGAACUGAAAAAUCACAUCUCCAGACUCGUCACUUGGUAUGUUUUUUCUUCUUUUGUUAUAUUGCUCCCCAUCCUAGCUUUUCUAUGGCUGGUGGGCCAGCAA